This 218-nucleotide long non-coding RNA is filed under the name Elaeis guineensis (African oil palm). RNAcentral's name for it is "long non-coding RNA (EGUI_LNC008539)". The record is from RNAcentral. Lineage: Eukaryota; Viridiplantae; Streptophyta; Magnoliopsida; Arecales; Arecaceae.
CAUAUUUUUCAACAACUUCCACUUGGACUAAAGCCAAUCGAUACAAUAUCGUAUACCCAUUUUUGAUUUGUGGUCAUCAAAUUUUUUGAUUUCGAGAGCUUUAGUAAAUGGAUCGAUCAAGUUCUUCCUUUCAUCAAUCUUCUGAAGGUCGAUGUCACCUCAAUCCACGAACUCCCGAAUAAGGUGAUAACAAUGCAGAAUAUAUUUGGUGCGCUGAU